GGAGCGGUCCCGACAGCGACCUGGAGAGAUUUACGGGAAGACCGGGACGACUAAGACGGUUUGCCCGAAGCCUUUCUGCGCAGGUCCGGGAAGUGAUGGCUGCGAGGCCGAGACCGGGGGACUUUGUCCUUGAUGAGGCAGAGUGCGAUUCCUCCGUGUCUGAACUGUUCAGCCGUACGGGAUCGGACCCAGAGUCCAGUCCACGUCAGGAUGCAUCAUCGUCGGUG
Molecule: long non-coding RNA, 227 nt
Organism: Xiphias gladius (swordfish)
Lineage: Eukaryota; Metazoa; Chordata; Actinopteri; Istiophoriformes; Xiphiidae
Exons: 3
Source: RefSeq, a predicted model, not a curated record